Molecule: ribosomal RNA, 721 nt
Filed under: uncultured Actinomycetes bacterium
Lineage: Bacteria; Bacillati; Actinomycetota; Actinomycetes
Description: bacterial SSU rRNA
Rfam family: Bacterial small subunit ribosomal RNA
Source: RNAcentral
GUCGAACGAUGAAGCUGGAGCUUGCUCCGGUGGAUUAGUGGCGAACGGGUGAGUAACACGUGAGAAAUCUGCCCUUGACUCUGGGAUAACUGCGGGAAACUGUAGCUAAUACCGGAUACGACACCUUGGGGCAUCCCAGGGUGUGGAAAGAAUUUCGGUCAAGGAUGAGCUCGCGGCCUAUCAGCUAGUUGGUGAGGUAAUGGCUCACCAAGGCGACGACGGGUAGCCGGCCUGAGAGGGUGACCGGCCACACUGGAACUGAGACACGGUCCAGACUCCUACGGGAGGCAGCAGUGGGGAAUAUUGCACAAUGGGCGCAAGCCUGAUGCAGCAACGCCGCGUGAGGGAUGAAGGCCUUCGGGUUGUAAACCUCUUUUAGCAGGGAAGAAGCGAAAGUGACGGUACCUGCAGAAAAAGCACCGGCUAACUACGUGCCAGCAGCCGCGGUAAUACGUAGGGUGCAAGCGUUGUCCGGAAUUAUUGGGCGUAAAGAGCUCGUAGGCGGUUUGUCGCGUCUGCUGUGAAAAUCCAAGGCUCAACCUUGGACCUGCAGUGGGUACGGGCAGACUAGAGUGCGGUAGGGGAGAUGGGAAUUCCUGGUGUAGCGGUGGAAUGCGCAGAUAUCAGGAGGAACACCAAUGGCGAAGGCACAUCUCUGGGCCGUAACUGACGCUGAGGAGCGAAAGCGUGGGGAGCGAACAGGAUUAGAUACCCUGGUAGU